ACGACCUUACUUGAACAGGAUCUAUUCUAUAGGAUCGUACUGCUGCAUCCUUGACUAAUAAGGAGGCAAGCACCUAAGCUUGGUUGAUGACAUUUGACCUGUGGGCCAGAGCGUGAUUAAUGGCGUAGAUCAGUAGCUGCUGACCUGUGGAGGAUCGUUCCUGUCCAGCUCUGGCUGGCCGAGGUGGCUCAAAGGUUGUCUGACAGGCU
This 209-nucleotide small nucleolar RNA is filed under the name Hordeum vulgare. RNAcentral's name for it is "Plant small nucleolar RNA U3". It matches the Rfam family "Plant small nucleolar RNA U3". Rfam says of the family: Small nucleolar RNAs (snoRNAs) are involved in the processing and modification of rRNA in the nucleolus. There are two main classes of snoRNAs: the box C/D class, and the box H/ACA class. U3 snoRNA is a member of the box C/D class. The record is from RNAcentral. Lineage: Eukaryota; Viridiplantae; Streptophyta; Magnoliopsida; Poales; Poaceae.